RNAcentral lists this ribosomal RNA (254 nucleotides) under uncultured bacterium. RNAcentral's name for it is "partial 16S ribosomal RNA". It matches the Rfam family "Bacterial small subunit ribosomal RNA", at positions 524 to 776 of the family's 1533-position model. The record is from RNAcentral.
UACGGAGGGUGCAAGCGUUAUCCGGAUUCACUGGGUUUAAAGGGUGCGUAGGCGGGUUGGUAAGUCCGUGGUGAAAUCUCCAAGCUUAACUUGGAAACUGCCGUGGAUACUAUCAAUCUUGAAUAUCGUGGAGGUAAGCGGAAUAUGUCAUGUAGCGGUGAAAUGCUUAGAUAUGACAUAGAACACCAAUUGCGUAGGCAGCUUACUACACGAUCAUUGACGCUGAGGCACGAAAAGCGUGGGGAGCAAGCAGG